RNAcentral lists this ribosomal RNA (252 nucleotides) under uncultured bacterium. RNAcentral describes it as "partial 16S ribosomal RNA". It matches the Rfam family "Bacterial small subunit ribosomal RNA", at positions 524 to 776 of the family's 1533-position model. The record is from RNAcentral.
UAUGGAGGAUGCGAGCGUUAUCCGGAUUUAUUGGGUUUAAAGGGUGCGUAGGCGGAGUGCCAAGUCAGCGGUAAAAAUUCGGGGCUCAACCCCGUCGUGCCGUUGAAACUGGCGCCCUUGAGUGGGCGAGAAGUAUGCGGAAUGCGUGGUGUAGCGGUGAAAUGCAUAGAUAUCACGCAGAACCCCGAUUGCGAAGGCAGCAUACCGGCGCCCGACUGACGCUGAAGCACGAAAGCGUGGGUAUCGAACAGG